UUGUAAGUGUUUAAGGGCGCAUGGUGGAUGCCUUGGCACUGGGAGCCGAUGAAGGACGUAGGAGGCUGCGAUAAGCCUCGGGGAGCUGUCAACCGAGCGUUGAUCCGAGGAUGUCCGAAUGGGGAAACCCGGCACGAGUGAUGUCGUGUCACCAGGCGCUGAAUAUAUAGGCGUCUGGGGGGAACGCGGGGAAGUGAAACAUCUCAGUACCCGUAGGAAGAGAAAACAAAAUGUGAUUCCGUGAGUAGUGGCGAGCGAAAGCGGAGGAUGGCUAAACCGUAUGCAUGUGAUACCGGGUAGGGGUUGUGUGUGCGGGGUUGUGGGACCUAUCUUUCCGGCUCUACCUGGCUGGAGGGCAGUGAGAAAAUGUUGUGGUUAGCGGAAAUGGCUUGGGAUGGCCUGCCGUAGACGGUGAGAGCCCGGUACGUGAAAACCCGACGUCUGUCUUGAUGGUGUUCCCGAGUAGCAGCGGGCCCGUGGAAUCUGCUGUGAAUCUGCCGGGACCACCCGGUAAGCCUGAAUACUUCCCAGUGACCGAUAGCGGAUUAGUACCGUGAGGGAAUGGUGAAAAGUACCCCGGGAGGGGAGUGAAAGAGUACCUGAAACCGUGCGCUUACAAUCCGUCAGAGCCCUCGACGUGUCGUGGGGUGAUGGCGUGCCUUUUGAAGAAUGAGCCUGCGAGUCAGGGACAUGUCGCGAGGUUAACCCGGGUGGGGUAGCCGCAGCGAAAGCGAGUCUGAAUAGGGCGUAUCCACGCAACAGUGUGUGGUGUAGUGGUGUGUUCUGGACCCGAAGCGGAGUGAUCUACCCAUGGCCAGGGUGAAGCGCGGGUAAGACCGCGUGGAGGCCCGAACCCACUUAGGUUGAAGACUGAGGGGAUGAGCUGUGGGUAGGGGUGAAAGGCCAAUCAAACUCCGUGAUAGCUGGUUCUCCCCGAAAUGCAUUUAGGUGCAGCGUCGCAUGUUUCUUGCCGGAGGUAGAGCUACUGGAUGGCCGAUGGGCCCCACAGGGUUACUGACGUCAGCCAAACUCCGAAUGCCGGUAAGUCCAAGAGUGCGGCAGUGAGACGGCGGGGGAUAAGCUCCGUGCGUCGAGAGGGAAACAGCCCAGAUCGCCGGCUAAGGCCCCUAAGCGUGUGCUAAGUGGAAAAGGAUGUGCAGUCGCGAAGACAACCAGGAGGUUGGCUUAGAAGCAGCCACCCUUGAAAGAGUGCGUAAUAGCUCACUGGUCAAGUGAUUGUGCGCCGAUAAUGUAGCGGGGCUCAAGCACACCGCCGAAGCCGCGGCAACGACCUUGUGUCGUUGGGUAGGGGAGCGUCCUGCAUCCGGUGAAGCCGCCGAGUGAUCGAGUGGUGGAGGGUGUGGGAGUGAGAAUGCAGGCAUGAGUAGCGAUUAGGCAAGUGAGAACCUUGCCCGCCGAAAGACCAAGGGUUCCUGGGCCAGGCCAGUCCGCCCAGGGUGAGUCGGGACCUAAGGCGAGGCCGACAGGCGUAGUCGAUGGACAACGGGUUGAUAUUCCCGUACCCGUGUAUGUGCGUCCAUGAUGAAUCAGCGGUACUAACCAUCCAAAACCACCGUGACUGCACCUUUCGGGGUGUGGCGUUGGUGGGGCUGCAUGGGACCUUCGUUGGUAGUAGUCAAGCGAUGGGGUGACGCAGGAAGGUAGCCGUACCGGUCAGUGGUAAUACCGGGGUAAGCCUGUAGGGAGUCAGAUAGGUAAAUCCGUCUGGCGUAUAUCCUGAGAGGUGAUGCAUAGCCGAGUGAGGCGAAUUCGGUGAUCCUAUGCUGCCGAGAAAAGCCUCUAGCGAGGACAUACACGGCCCGUACCCCAAACCAACACAGGUGGUCAGGUAGAGAAUACUAAGGCGUACGAGUGAACUAUGGUUAAGGAACUCGGCAAAAUGCCCCCGUAACUUCGGGAGAAGGGGGACCCACAUGGCGUGUAAGCCUUUACGGCCCAAGCGUGAGUGGGUGGCACAAACCAGUGAGAAGCGACUGUUUACUAAAAACACAGGUCCGUGCGAAGUCGCAAGACGAUGUAUACGGACUGACGCCUGCCCGGUGCUGGAAGGUUAAGAGGACCCGUUAACCCUUCGGGGUGAAGCGGAGAAUUUAAGCCCCAGUAAACGGCGGUGGUAACUAUAACCAUCCUAAGGUAGCGAAAUUCCUUGUCGGGUAAGUUCCGACCUGCACGAAUGGCGUAACGACUUCUCAACUGUCUCAACCAUAGACUCGGCGAAAUUGCACUACGAGUAAAGAUGCUCGUUACGCGCGGCAGGACGAAAAGACCCCGGGACCUUCACUACAACUUGGUAUUGGUGCUCGAUACGGUUUGUGUAGGAUAGGUGGGAGACUGUGAAGCUCACACGCCAGUGUGGGUGGAGUCGUUGUUGAAAUACCACUCUGAUCGUAUUGGGCCUCUAACCUCGGACCGUAUAUCCGGUUCAGGGACAGUGCCUGGUGGGUAGUUUAACUGGGGCGGUUGCCUCCUAAAAUGUAACGGAGGCGCCCAAAGGUUCCCUCAACCUGGACGGCAAUCAGGUGUUGAGUGUAAGUGCACAAGGGAGCUUGACUGCGAGACGGACAUGUCGAGCAGGGACGAAAGUCGGGACUAGUGAUCCGGCACCUCUGAGUGGAAGGGGUGUCGCUCAACGGAUAAAAGGUACCCCGGGGAUAACAGGCUGAUCUUCCCCAAGAGUCCAUAUCGACGGGAUGGUUUGGCACCUCGAUGUCGGCUCGUCGCAUCCUGGGGCUGGAGCAGGUCCCAAGGGUUGGGCUGUUCGCCCAUUAAAGCGGCACGCGAGCUGGGUUUAGAACGUCGUGAGACAGUUCGGUCUCUAUCCGCCGCGCGCGUCAGAAGCUUGAGGAAACCUGUCCCUAGUACGAGAGGACCGGGACGGACGAACCUCUGGUAUACCAGUUGUCCCACCAGGGGCACGGCUGGAUAGCCACGUUCGGACAGGAUAACCGCUGAAAGCAUCUAAGCGGGAAACCUCUUCCAAGACCAGGCUUCUCACCCUCUAGGAGGGAUAAGGCCCCCCGCAGACCACGGGAUUGAUAGACCAGACCUGGAAGCCUAGUAAUAGGUGCAGGGAACUGGCACUAACCGGCCGAAAACUUACAACACCCCAUAAUCGUUGUAAGAAGAAAACAUUGACGCACC
This 3162-nucleotide ribosomal RNA is filed under the name Mycolicibacterium smegmatis MKD8. RNAcentral's name for it is "bacterial LSU rRNA". It matches the Rfam family "Bacterial large subunit ribosomal RNA". Lineage: Bacteria; Bacillati; Actinomycetota; Actinomycetes; Mycobacteriales; Mycobacteriaceae. The record is from RNAcentral.